This 497-nucleotide ribosomal RNA is filed under the name uncultured bacterium. Its description in RNAcentral is "partial 16S ribosomal RNA". It matches the Rfam family "Bacterial small subunit ribosomal RNA", at positions 28 to 507 of the family's 1533-position model. The record is from RNAcentral.
GACGAACGCUGGCGGCGUGCCUAAUACAUGCAAGUUGAGCGCUGAAGGUUGGUACUUGUACCAACUGGAUGAGCAGCGAACGGGUGAGUAACGCGUGGGGAAUCUGCCUUUGAGCGGGGGACAACAUUUGGAAACGAAUGCUAAUACCGCAUAAAAACUUUAAACACAAGUUUUAAGUUUGAAAGAUGCAAUUGCAUCACUCAAAGAUGAUCCCGCGUUGUAUUAGCUAGUUGGUGAGGUAAAGGCUCACCAAGGCGAUCAUACAUAGCCGACCUGAGAGGGUGAACGGCCCAAAUGGGACUGGGACACGGCCCAAGCUCCUACGGGAGGCAGCAGUAGGGAAUCUUCGGCAAAUGACGGAAAUCUGACCGAACACCGCCGGGGGAGUGAAGAAGGGUUUCGGAUCGUAAAACUCUGUUGGUAGGGAAGAACGUUGGUGAGAGUGGAAAGCUCAUCAAGUGACGGUAACUACCCAGAAAGGAACGGCUAACUACGUG